RNAcentral lists this ribosomal RNA (1401 nucleotides) under uncultured bacterium. RNAcentral's name for it is "16S ribosomal RNA". It matches the Rfam family "Bacterial small subunit ribosomal RNA". The record is from RNAcentral.
AGAGUUUGAUCCUGGCUCAGGAUGAACGCUAGCGGCAGGCUUAACACAUGCAAGUCGAGGGGCAGCGGGGAGGAAGCUUGCUUUCUCCGCCGGCGACCGGCGCACGGGUGAGUAACACGUAUGCAACCUGCCCCUGUCAGGGGGACAACCCGCCGAAAGGCGGGCUAAACCCGCGUACAUGCCACCGGGGCAUCCCGGAGGCAGGAAAGGCUUCGGCCGGACAGGGAUGGGCAUGCGGCGCAUUAGGCAGUAGGCGGGGUAACGGCCCACCUAACCGACGAUGCGUAGGGGUUCUGAGAGGAAGGUCCCCCACACUGGUACUGAGACACGGACCAGACUCCUACGGGAGGCAGCAGUGAGGAAUAUUGGUCAAUGGUCGGGAGACUGAACCAGCCAAGCCGCGUGAGGGAGGAAGGUACAGAGUAUCGUAAACCUCUUUUGUCAGGGAACAAAGGCGGGGACGUGUCCCCGGAUGAGUGUACCUGAAGAAAAAGCAUCGGCUAACUCCGUGCCAGCAGCCGCGGUAAUACGGAGGAUGCGAGCGUUAUCCGGAUUUAUUGGGUUUAAAGGGUGCGCAGGCGGUCUGUUAAGUCAGCGGUCAAAGCCCGGGGCUCAACCCCGGCCCGCCGUUGAAACUGGCAGUCUCGAGUUGGAGAGAAGUAUGCGGAAUGCGCGGUGUAGCGGUGAAAUGCAUAGAUAUCGCGCAGAACUCCGAUUGCGAAGGCAGCAUGCCGGCUCCACACUGACGCUGAGGCACGAAAGCGUGGGUAUCGAACAGGAUUAGAUACCCUGGUAGUCCACGCAGUAAACGAUGAAUACUAGCUGUCCGGGGCGAAUGAGCCCUGGUGGCACAGCGAAAGCGUUAAGUAUUCCACCUGGGGAGUACGCCGGCAACGGUGAAACUCAAAGGAAUUGACGGGGGCCCGCACAAGCGGAGGAACAUGUGGUUUAAUUCGAUGAUACGCGAGGAACCUUACCCGGGCUCAAACGACACAGGAACGUACCUGAAAGGGUUCGGCUCUACGGAGCCUGUGUCGAGGUGCUGCAUGGUUGUCGUCAGCUCGUGCCGUGAGGUGUCGGCUUAAGUGCCAUAACGAGCGCAACCCCCAUCGACAGUUGCUAACAGGUCAGGCUGAGGACUCUGUCGAGACUGCCGGCGCAAGCUGCGAGGAAGGCGGGGAUGACGUCAAAUCAGCACGGCCCUUACGUCCGGGGCGACACACGUGUUACAAUGGCAGGUACAGCGGGAAGCCACCUGGCGACAGGGAGCGGAACCCGAAAGCCUGUCUCAGUUCGGAUUGGAGUCUGCAACCCGACUCCAUGAAGCUGGAUUCGCUAGUAAUCGCGCAUCAGCCACGGCGCGGUGAAUACGUUCCCGGGCCUUGUACACACCGCCCGUCA